GUAUGGGUGACCAUACAUCUGAAGGAAGCGGGACUGCAAAUUCCGGUACUGACGCAUAGGAACGUCAUACAGAGGCCAAAUGAGGUGGAUAAGUGAGCACAUCUUCACAACGUCCCUGACCAACAAACCUCAUAGGGUAGAUGACGCAGGAAUCGGAAGAAGCCUACGCGG
Molecule: non-coding RNA, 171 nt
Filed under: Marinoscillum furvescens DSM 4134
Lineage: Bacteria; Pseudomonadati; Bacteroidota; Cytophagia; Cytophagales; Reichenbachiellaceae
Source: RNAcentral